CGGCUAUGAGCAAGCGCCAUCUUUCUUGUUAGAAUUGCUGGCUGCAGAUAAAACUAAGGAAUGAAAAUAUAGGCCAUCUGUUUUGAAGAGUUUGGAAAACACCACAAAAAUACUGGCCAAUAAACUGCCACAGAGUAUUAUUUUCUCAGCACUGAAACAGCUCCAGAAUGCGCCAUUAUAGGAAAGUAGUCUUCAGUUACCUUGUGAUUCUGUCUGAAUACUACUAAGAAAGGCACAUGGUCCUGGCAAUCUCCAGGAAGAACCUGUUUCACUGUAUCGAGCCUCGGUUCAUAAUGGAUCCCCACCCAGACAUAAUCCUGAGGACUUUGAACCUGGGCUAGAAGACAGGUUAACUGAUUGCUGGUCGUGGUUUGGCCAGGGAAAUAUCUGCCAAGUGCAACCAACUUAUCUCAGCUAAGACCCCGGCUUAAUCUCUCUCUAUUUGCAGCAGGUGAGGUAUGAGACCCAGGGUCUGAACAAAGCCCAUGGUGUAAAGGAAGUGAUCGAGCCUUGAACCUACCAGUGGCAGUAUGACACUAGGCCUUCAUCUCAUCUAUUCCCUGCUGAAUUGCCUCUAUUAAUGUCACCAUCAUGGUCACAUUAGACAUUGGCCUAUGUGAGAAAGGGGCACUGUUCAGUGGGGGUUGGGGAUGGGGGGAAUGAUGGCGUGUGUUGAUC
Molecule: long non-coding RNA, 678 nt
Filed under: Mus pahari (shrew mouse)
Lineage: Eukaryota; Metazoa; Chordata; Mammalia; Rodentia; Muridae
Description: predicted gene, 36972 (MGP_PahariEiJ_G0006098.1)
Source: RNAcentral